RNAcentral lists this ribosomal RNA (445 nucleotides) under uncultured Anaerolineaceae bacterium. Its description in RNAcentral is "bacterial SSU rRNA". It matches the Rfam family "Bacterial small subunit ribosomal RNA", at positions 925 to 1381 of the family's 1533-position model. The record is from RNAcentral. Lineage: Bacteria; Bacillati; Chloroflexota; Anaerolineae; Anaerolineales; Anaerolineaceae.
ACAAGCAGCGGAGCGUGUGGUUUUAAGUUCGAGGCUACACGAAGAACCUUACCUGGGCUUGACAUCACGGUGGUAGCGACCCGAGAGGGAGCGACCUUCGGGAGCCGUGACAGGUGCUGCAUGGCUGUCGUCAGCUCGUGUCGUGAGAUGUCCGGUUAAGUCCGGUAACGAGCGCAACCCUCGCCGUCAGUUACAGGUUGUCUGACGGGACUGCCCGUUGAACGCGGGAGGAAGGUGGGGAUGACGUCAAGUCAGCAUGGCCCUUAUGUCCAGGGCGACACACACGCUACAAUGGCCGGUACAAUGGGUCGCCAACCCGCGAGGGGGAGCCAAUCCAGCAAAGCCGGUCUCAGUUCGGAUUGCAGGCUGCAACUCGCCUGCAUGAAGCUGGAGUUGCUAGUAAACGCGCGUCAGCUAUAGUGCGUUGAAUACGUUCUCGGGCCUC